This is a long non-coding RNA of Parus major (Great Tit), 1665 nucleotides long. RefSeq lists it as uncharacterized. The transcript is spliced from 2 exons. The record is from RefSeq and is a predicted model, not a curated record. Lineage: Eukaryota; Metazoa; Chordata; Aves; Passeriformes; Paridae.
UCCCAUGGGUGAAUUGUGUGUUCCCAGCACAAAUCCAAACCGUAGCCCCAUGCUAGAUACAGAGGAAGGUUAGCUCUACCCCAGACAGAGCAGCACAGAAUGUUAUAUCCACAGUGGUUCUUGAGGGUGCCUUGAGUUGAUAGUUCCUAAAAGAGAAGUAGCGAACUCUGCUUUAUACGGAGUUCUGGAAGAAGAGGGAAGAGAAUGUGGGACCUAUAAAAUAAUUUUUAUAGCGCUUGCUCAUGUUAAAAUGUGGUGGCUUGAAACCCUAGUGAGUAAAGGGCUGAGUUGUACAGGCACAUGGGAAAUCUGAAGAGAACAUGUGAGGAAUGCCUGGGAAGUUGAUGUUUAUGGACUAAUGAUCUGGAGUCACAAAGAACCAGCUGCUGUGCAGGGAGAGGAGCUCAUUCCAGUGACAAACGCAUGUAAGUGGCAGUAGAGGAGGGUGAGUAGCCUUCCUCUGCUAAAGGAAGACGUAAGUGAUCUUAAUUUUUUAGGUUUUCUCUAUUCAGAGAAGGAUUUUUUUUGGUAGUCCAUUCCUAGAUCAGAUGAAGUUUUCUAGACACUGAAAGAAAGACUGAUGCUAAAAUGUAAUUUUCUCUUCCCUUGCAGAAGUCUGCUUGGUUUUUUGUCCAAGCUCAGUAAUCAUUACAGUGGUGUUUAGGUUAUUUGGGAGGACACAGGACGUCCUGCAGCAGCGCUGCUUAUCAGCAUCACUGUGUUCCUACCAGCUUUGUCCUACAAGUUGUUCUUCCGGACAACAUUGAUGGGUCACAAGGAAAGAGUUCAGAAGUAGCUGUGAGUACUUUCUGGCAAGAAAUUACUUUACAGUUCUUGGGUUGUUGUUUUCUUCAGAGUCUUGUUUUAGGCUGGUAUGAAUAAGUCUAUUUUGAGCUGCCCUUAAAUGGAUGUCACGUAGAGGACAGUCUUGUUAAAACUUGGGAGUUGCCUGCUCAGCAGUUGGGUUCUGCGCUCUUGGCUGUGGUUGGAGGAUACAGUAAAUCCAGCUUCAGGGCUCUGAGAACCAAAUGAAGAACCUGACCCUCCCAUGGAGCAAAAUGGCAGUCCAGAAGCAAACACAUUUUGCUGGCACUGUCAAAUGUAUGGCUGUGUGGAUGAGCUCUCUGUGGGCCAGUGGCCGUGGCAGUGAGGUUCCCCCAGACAGUCUGACAUAUCCCGGUGGCUGUCGGUGCUCUGGAGCAGCUCUUUCCUACCAACCUGCCCCUCUGACACCACUGACAUUUCGAGGAGAGGAAGUUUUCCUGCCUGUGGCUAUGAGUCUGGUUCGUGGUAGCCAGGGACCACGCAUAUGGUUGUCCCAACAGCCUGAUCACAGCCCCCAGAAGGCACAGCAGAUGCUCUCCCAGAGCAGCAUCUGUGGCCUUGCGGAAGGGAAUUGUCACUUGCAGUUGUGUUUCUGCUUUGUGAUCCUUGUGGGUAUCGCUUGUGAGGGACCUGUGUCCUUCUGGCUCUGUGGCUUGUUCUGGCGUAAUCGGUGUUUUGUUGAGCACUUGGCACUCUGGGGAGACAGAAUGGCAGCCCAGGUCUGUGCUGCUCUGGGCUCUGACUGACUCUCCUCUGACUGGAGCUUAAAUUGGUGGAAGUGAUGAAAUGAUUUUUUUCGCUUUAGUCUCAAGUAAUAAAAUAACUUGGUUUUGCAUUUCA